This 497-nucleotide ribosomal RNA is filed under the name uncultured bacterium. RNAcentral describes it as "partial 16S ribosomal RNA". It matches the Rfam family "Bacterial small subunit ribosomal RNA", at positions 28 to 507 of the family's 1533-position model. The record is from RNAcentral.
GAUGAACGCUGGCGGCGUGCCUAAUACAUGCAAGUCGAGCGAACGGACGAGAAGCUUGCUUCGCUGAUGUUAGCGGCGGACGGGUGAGUAACACGUGGAUAACCUACCUAUAAGACGGGGAUAACUUCGGGAAACCGGAGCUAAUACCGGAUAAUAUUUUGAACCGCAUGGUUCAAAAGUGAAAGACGGUCUUUCUGUCACUUAUAGAUGGAUCCGCGCUGCAUUAGCUAGUUGGUAAGGUAACGGCUUACCAAGGCAACGAUGCAUAGCCGACCUGAGAGGGUGAUCGGCCACACUGGAACUGAGACACGGUCAAGACUCCUACGGGAGGGAGCAGUAGGGAAUCUUCCGCAAUGGGCGAAAGCCUGACGGAGCAACGCCGAGUGAGUGAUGAAGGUCUUCGGAUCGUAAAACUCUGUUAUUAGGGAAGAACAUAUGUGUAAGUAACUGUGCACAUCUUGACGGUACCUAAUCAGAAAGCCACGGCUAACUACGUG